CUCUAGUUCAGUGCUAGGGAUGGGUCCUAGGUGUGCAAAGGCAUAUUCUGAUCUUUCAGAAAUUGCUGACAUUCCAAGAUGUGGCCAUUGACUUCACCCAGGAAGAGUGGAGACAGUUGGAGCCUGCUCAGAAAGACCUGUACAGGGACGUGAUGCUGGAGAACUAUGAGAACUUUGUGUCCCUGGGUAAGGAUGGCUUUUCUCUCCUGAAUCAUCUGGGUCCUGCUGUGUUUAUCAUGUGUGAAUUUCAACUUGGCAUGUAGGUCUAUUCUCAUGAAGAGAUGCAAGAUGAAAAGAUUCCUAGUCCUUUGAUUCCAAGAGAUAAGAGUUUCUAUGCCCUCUUUCUGUAUGAAGGGUCUUUGCUUUGUACUACUGGAAGUUUACAGCCCUGCAUUAGGGUCAAAAUGUUUGUGCUGCUCCUAAUGCUAAAACUUCCCACCUGUCCAUCUAGAUCAAAGAUUCUCCAUUUGCAACUCAGUACAAGUCCUCGAACACAUGAAAACUUUUCUUCUUCUUCUUCUUCUUAUCAGGAAGCAUGUUAAGACAAAAGAAUUUUCUCUGAGCCAAAGUCAAACUCUUGGACAUACCCCCACACAUGAUAGAAUCAUAGUGCAGACAGUCAUUCUCAGGGCUUCCAAUUUCCAAACCAGACGUGAUCUCCCAGUUGGAGCAAAGAGGAGCACCAUGGUUCAGAGCACAAGUCCUAAGAAGCACUCAUCUGGAUUCCUUGAUUCAGAAGAAAAGGUACAAAACCAAGCAAUCAACUCCAAAACAGGUUAUUUCUAUAGGAGAAUCACUAAAGGAACAAACCAAGGAUCGUUCUUGGGAUUGUGAUAUCAGGCUGGAGAGGCAGAAGGAUAACCAGAAAAGACAGUCUAGACAAG
Molecule: long non-coding RNA, 884 nt
Filed under: Vombatus ursinus (common wombat)
Lineage: Eukaryota; Metazoa; Chordata; Mammalia; Diprotodontia; Vombatidae
Description: lncRNA (ENSVURG00010020784.1)
Source: RNAcentral